UACGUAGGGUGCAAUCGUUGUUCGGAAUCAUUGGGCGUAAAGCGCGUGUAGGCGGUUAGAUAAGUCAGAUGUGAAAUCCCUAGGCUCAACCAAGGAAGUGCAUUUGAAACUAUCUAGCUAGAAGAUGGUAGAGGAAGGUGGAAUUCCAAGUGUAGAGGUGAAAUUCGUAGAUAUUUGGAGGAAUACCGGCGGCGAAGGCGGCCGUCUGGGUCAUACUUGACGCUGAGACGCGAAAGCGUGGGUAGCAAACAGG
This 253-nucleotide ribosomal RNA is filed under the name uncultured bacterium. RNAcentral describes it as "partial 16S ribosomal RNA". It matches the Rfam family "Bacterial small subunit ribosomal RNA", at positions 524 to 776 of the family's 1533-position model. The record is from RNAcentral.